This 21-nucleotide non-coding RNA is filed under the name Callorhinchus milii (elephant shark). RNAcentral also lists the same sequence under 25 other names. The record is from RNAcentral. Lineage: Eukaryota; Metazoa; Chordata; Chondrichthyes; Chimaeriformes; Callorhinchidae.
GGGUUCCUGGCAUGCUGAUUU